Molecule: long non-coding RNA, 745 nt
Organism: Fundulus heteroclitus (mummichog)
Lineage: Eukaryota; Metazoa; Chordata; Actinopteri; Cyprinodontiformes; Fundulidae
Exons: 2
Source: RefSeq, a predicted model, not a curated record
CGCAGGGAGCGACGAAAUAAAAGCCAUUAUACGUAACGUGGAGAAGCCGUCUCCUGGUGUGAAUGAGACAAGCAGAAUCAGAUCAGGGGAGGAUCGCUGCUUCUCUUACACAAACUGUACCAGCUGACUGUUGCCCUCGGUCCGCUCCUCCCUCCGCUAGACAGCAACGUGGACCUGAGCGGUUGGACCCCGCAGCUGAGCGACUUGCUGGAGCUCACAUGACUCAGUGAUCAGCGCUGUUCGCCCGCUGACAUUAUCUACCUUUACUCCUGAGCCGAUGCAUGGCUUCCCGGGUCAGCCUCGGCUAGGAAUGACAUGCUGAUUCGAAAGGCGGACUGGAACUAGCGCUUGGUUGAGCCAAACAUCAAACACUGCCAGCAGUGAGGGGGUUUUCCACAGCAGGAGGUGUCACAGCUGACCUGCAGUGGAUGCUUGUGCUCGACCUGAGGCUCAUCGAGCAGCAGCAUCAAGAGGCUAGCUGUUUAGCUAACUACCAAUGAAUCCAGCCGACCCUUCCCAAAGCCUGCCUCCCAAUCACACCGCAUUCUGUGCGGUGUCACGGAAGCUUCCGGCUUGUCUACACCUCCACCGCUCCACACCACUAAUGUCCCCGGGUUCCAGCUUCUCCUCCCAGCACCGUGGCUGCUAGUGGCGCUCCUCUGUUACCGAAAGCCAGGCUAACAGCACCCGAUGCUACAAGCUAUACUAAAAAUAAAUAAAUAAAUAAAGCCUUCUUGUGGUCUGG